RNAcentral lists this unclassified non-coding RNA (435 nucleotides) under Papiliotrema baii. Its description in RNAcentral is "sequence contains 18S rRNA gene, ITS1, 5.8S rRNA gene and ITS2". The stretch from base 109 to 262 matches the Rfam family "5.8S ribosomal RNA". Lineage: Eukaryota; Fungi; Basidiomycota; Tremellomycetes; Tremellales; Rhynchogastremaceae. The record is from RNAcentral.
GAUUGGUCGAAAGACCUUAUCAGAUUCUACCACCUCUGUGAACCGUUGACCUCCGGGUUAAUAAUCAAACAUCAGUGUAACGAACGUAAGAGUAUCUUAAUUAAACAAAACUUUUAACAACGGAUCUCUUGGCUCUCGCAUCGAUGAAGAACGCAGCGAAAUGCGAUAAGUAAUGUGAAUUGCAGAAUUCAGUGAAUCAUCGAAUCUUUGAACGCACCUUGCGCCUUUUGGUAUUCCGAAAGGCAUGCCUGUUUCAGUGUCAUGAAAUCUCAAUCUAAUAUGUUUUCUGAACAUGUUAGGCUUGGACUUGGGUGUCUGCCAGUGAUGGCUCACCUCAAAUGACUUAGUGGAACGUCCCACAUCAGUGUUAGACGUAAUAAGUUUCGUCUCUCCUUGUGGUGAUGACUGCUCAGAACCUGCCAUCGCGCACCUUUU